This 253-nucleotide ribosomal RNA is filed under the name uncultured bacterium. Its description in RNAcentral is "partial 16S ribosomal RNA". It matches the Rfam family "Bacterial small subunit ribosomal RNA", at positions 524 to 776 of the family's 1533-position model. The record is from RNAcentral.
UACGUAGGGCGCAAGCGUUGUCCGGAAUUAUUGGGCGUAAAGAGCUCGUAGGCGGCUUGUCACGUCGGGUGUGAAAGCCCGGGGCUUAACCCCGGGUCUGCAUUCGAUACGGGCUAGCUAGAGUGUGGUAGGGGAGAUCGGAAUUCUUGGUGUAGCGGUGAAAUGCGUAGAUAUCAAGAGGAACACCUGAGGUGAAGACGGGUUGCUGGGCUGACACUGACGCUGAGGCGCGAAAGCCAGGGGAGCAAACGGG